GACGAACGCUGGCGGCGUGCCUAAUACAUGCAAGUCGAGCGGACGAAUCGAAAGCUUGCUUUUGAUUCGUUAGCGGCGGACGGGUGAGUAACACGUGGGCAACCUGCCCUGUAGACGGGGAUAACACCGAGAAAUCGGUGCUAAUACCGGAUAACACGAAAUGUCGCAUGACGUUUCGUUGAAAGACGGCGCAAGCUGUCGCUAUAGGAUGGGCCCGCGGCGCAUUAGCUAGUUGGUGAGGUAACGGCUCACCAAGGCGACGAUGCGUAGCCGACCUGAGAGGGUGAUCGGCCACACUGGGACUGAGACACGGCCCAGACUCCUACGGGAGGCAGCAGUAGGGAAUCUUCCGCAAUGGACGAAAGUCUGACGGAGCAACGCCGCGUGAGCGAAGAAGGCCUUCGGGUCGUAAAGCUCUGUUGUUAGGGAAGAACAAGUAACGCAGUAACUGGCGUUACCGUGACGGUACCUAACGAGAAAGCCACGGCUAACUACGUG
Molecule: ribosomal RNA, 498 nt
Filed under: uncultured bacterium
Lineage: Bacteria
Description: partial 16S ribosomal RNA
Rfam family: Bacterial small subunit ribosomal RNA
Source: RNAcentral